GGGUGCCCUCGAGGGCUUUCCGCGUGAGGCGCUGUCUGGCCAGUACCUCGGGCUGCCACCUCUAUGGUUUGAGGCAUUUUGUUGGGCAAGUGGAGGGUGCAUCUGGUCGGAACGGGCCAAGAGACACAAGAACAGCGGCUGCCUCGUGAAGGAAAGGACGGCGUGCGUGAGGGGCUGCCAGUCUCCCACAUUAGCUUGCUGCCUCCUGACUGAGCCCAAUUGUUAGAGGGACCCUGAGGCUGCGAGAGGUCCACAGCCCAGAGGCCCUGCCCACAUACCUGCUCCAGCCGGGCCCUUGGAUACAUGGCUGAGAAGGGCUGACAACAGCCCUGGAAUUCUCUAGAAGAUCCCAUGCGCUCUUUUCAAUGCUGCAGGUUCAGAAUAGCCUGGAGAACAGCUCUGAGCGGCCUGGCUCGGGUCAUGCGCCCACCUGGGACCAAUCAACGGCUGCAGGGUCAGGCACGGGCGGGGAAGGUGGCUGCGGCCUCUGCCAGACUCACGGGAGGAGCAGUUCCCCAAAAAGAGCAAGUGUGUGAGCAGAGAACCGAGGGGCAUAAAGCCCUGAUUCCUCUCCUGUGGCCCCAUCCGGCUCUCUGCGCUCGUAUCAUUUAAUAACUCCUGCCGCAAAUUGAAGGCCAGGCCUUCACGGGCGAUUCCCCAUCAACAAUCUGGCGAGGAGGCCACUGACUCCACGCUGUUUAUACUUCCCUCUCCCCUCCGUAGCUCCCAGAAGUUUCCAUAAAAGCAGAUGUAGGUAAUCAAAGACUUCCCAGCCCCAACAGCUCUGCUCCUCAAGGCCUCCACACAGCCUGCUCCCUCUGCUGGGUCACAUGGCUCCAAAAGAAUCUUAAACCAGCCCUGAAAUCUCUCCCCAGGAAGGAAGACUCCUCCUUGCCCGCAGAUCUGCCAUCAUUUGUCGAGUAUUUUAUGGUCAAUAAUAAUAGUAAUAACACCUUCA
Molecule: long non-coding RNA, 958 nt
Organism: Hyaena hyaena (striped hyena)
Lineage: Eukaryota; Metazoa; Chordata; Mammalia; Carnivora; Hyaenidae
Exons: 4
Source: RefSeq, a predicted model, not a curated record